GUAGUCCACGCCCUAAACGAUGCGAACUGGAUGUUGGGUGCAAUUUGGCACGCAGUAUCGAAGCUAACGCGUUAAGUUCGCCGCCUGGGGAGUACGGUCGCAAGACUGAAACUCAAAGGAAUUGACGGGGGCCCGCACAAGCGGUGGAGUAUGUGGUUUAAUUCGAUGCAACGCGAAGAACCUUACCUGGCCUUGACAUGUCGAGAACUUUCCAGAGAUGGAUUGGUGCCUUCGGGAACUCGAACACAGGUGCUGCAUGGCUGUCGUCAGCUCGUGUCGUGAGAUGUUGGGUUAAGUCCCGCAACGAGCGCAACCCUUGUCCUUAGUUGCCAGCACGUAAUGGUGGGAAC
RNAcentral lists this ribosomal RNA (350 nucleotides) under uncultured Stenotrophomonas sp. Its description in RNAcentral is "bacterial SSU rRNA". It matches the Rfam family "Bacterial small subunit ribosomal RNA", at positions 790 to 1138 of the family's 1533-position model. The record is from RNAcentral. Lineage: Bacteria; Pseudomonadati; Pseudomonadota; Gammaproteobacteria; Lysobacterales; Lysobacteraceae.